RNAcentral lists this transfer RNA (88 nucleotides) under Desulfurococcaceae archaeon. Its description in RNAcentral is "tRNA-Leu". It matches the Rfam family "tRNA". From Rfam's summary of the family: Transfer RNA (tRNA) molecules are approximately 80 nucleotides in length. Their secondary structure includes four short double-helical elements and three loops (D, anti-codon, and T loops). Lineage: Archaea; Thermoproteati; Thermoproteota; Thermoprotei; Desulfurococcales; Desulfurococcaceae. The record is from RNAcentral.
GCGGGGGUGCCCGAGCCUGGACAAAGGGGGCGGACUUAAGAUCCGCUGGCGUAGGCCUGCGUGGGUUCAAAUCCCACCCCCCGCACCA